This 1339-nucleotide ribosomal RNA is filed under the name uncultured prokaryote. RNAcentral describes it as "16S ribosomal RNA". It matches the Rfam family "Bacterial small subunit ribosomal RNA", at positions 93 to 1439 of the family's 1533-position model. The record is from RNAcentral.
UAGCGGCGGAUGGGUGAGUAACGCGUGGGUAACCUACCCUAAAGUUCGGGAUAACAGUUGGAAACGAUUGCUAAUACCGAAUAUUCUCUUUUUGUGGCAUCACAUUAAGAGGAAAGGUUACGCUUUAGGAUGGACCCGCGUCCCAUUAGCUAGUUGGUAAGGUAAUGGCUUACCAAGGCGACGAUGGGUAGCCGGCCUGAGAGGGUGUACGGCCACACUGGGACUGAGACACGGCCCAGACUCCUACGGGAGGCAGCAGUAGGGAAUAUUGCGCAAUGGAGGGAACUCUGACGCAGCGACGCCGCGUGAGCGAUGAAGGUCUUCGGAUCGUAAAGCUCUGUCCUUGGGGAAGAAGGGUGCAUUAUAGCAUCUUGACGGUACCCGAGGAGGAAGCCCCGGCUAACUACGUGCCAGCAGCCGCGGUAAUACGUAGGGGGCAAGCGUUGUCCGGAAUUAUUGGGCGUAAAGGGUGCGUAGGCGGCCUUUUAAGUCAGGUGUGAAAGCCCACGGCUUAACCGUGGGAUUGCAUUUGAAACUGGAAGGCUUGAGUAUCGGAGAGGGUAGUGGAAUUCCCAGUGUAGCGGUGAAAUGCGUAGAUAUUGGGAGGAACACCGGUGGCGAAGGCGGCUUUCUGGACGACAACUGACGCUGAGGCGCGAAAGCGUGGGGAGCAAACAGGAUUAGAUACCCUGGUAGUCCACGCCGUAAACGAUGGAUACUAGGUGUAGGAGGUAUCGACCCCUUCUGUGCCGGAGUUAACACAAUAAGUAUCCCACCUGGGGAGUACGGCCGCACGGCUGAAACUCAAAGGAAUUGACGGGGGCCCGCACAAGCAGUGGAGUAUGUGGUUUAAUUCGAAGCAACGCGAAGAACCUUACCAGGGCUUGACAUACAGACGAAUGGUGUGGAAACACAUCAGACCUUCGGGACGUCUGUACAGGUGGUGCAUGGUUGUCGUCAGCUCGUGUCGUGAGAUGUUGGGUUAAGUCCCGCAACGAGCGCAACCCCUGUUGUUAGUUGCCAUCAUUAAGUUGGGCACUCUAACGAGACUGCCGGUGACAAAUCGGAGGAAGGUGGGGACGACGUCAAAUCAUCAUGCCCCUUAUGUCCUGGGCUACACACGUACUACAAUGGCUAUUACAGCAGGAAGCGAAGGAGUAAUCCGGAGCAGAUCCCAAAAAAUAGUCCCAGUUCGGAUUGUGGGCUGCAACUCGCCCACAUGAAGUCGGAAUUGCUAGUAAUGGCAGGUCAGCAUACUGCCGUGAAUACGUUCCCGGGCCUUGUACACACCGCCCGUCACACCAUGAGAGUCUGCAACACCCGAAGUCAGUAGUCUAAC